Molecule: ribosomal RNA, 526 nt
Filed under: Bacteroides sp. HGA0037
Lineage: Bacteria; Pseudomonadati; Bacteroidota; Bacteroidia; Bacteroidales; Bacteroidaceae
Description: bacterial SSU rRNA
Rfam family: Bacterial small subunit ribosomal RNA
Source: RNAcentral
UGCAGUCGAGGGGCAGCAUUUUAGUUUGCUUGCAACUAAAGAUGGCGACCGGCGCACGGGUGAGUAACACGUAUCCAACCUGCCGAUAACUCGGGGAUAGCCUUUCGAAAGAAAGAUUAAUAUCCGAUGGUAUAUUAAAACCGCAUGGUUUUACUAUUAAAGAAUUUCGGUUAUCGAUGGGGAUGCGUUCCAUUAGUUUGUUGGCGGGGUAACGGCCCACCAAGACUACGAUGGAUAGGGGUUCUGAGAGGAAGGUCCCCCACAUUGGAACUGAGACACGGUCCAAACUCAUACGGGAGGCAGCAGUGAGGAAUAUUGGUCAAUGGACGAGAGUCUGAACCAGCCAAGUAGCGUGAAGGAUGACUGCCCUAUGGGUUGUAAACUUCUUUUAUAUGGGAAUAAAGUAUUCCACGUGUGGGAUUUUGUAUGUACCAUAUGAAUAAGGAUCGGCUAACUCCGUGCCAGCAGCCGCGGUAAUACGGAGGAUCCGAGCGUUAUCCGGAUUUAUUGGGUUUAAAGGGAGCGU